CCUACGGGUGGCUGCAGUGGGGAAUAUUGGACAAUGGGCGCAAGCCUGAUCCAGCAAUGCCGCGUGUGUGAAGAAGGCCUUCGGGUUGUAAAGCACUUUUAUCAGGAACGAAAAGUUCGGGGCUAAUACCUCCGAAUGCUGACGGUACCUGAGGAAUAAGCACCGGCUAACUUCGUGCCAGCAGCCGCGGUAAUACGAAGGGUGCAAGCGUUAGUCGGAAUUACUGGGCGUAAAGCGUGCGUAGGUGGUUUCUUAAGUCCGUUGUGAAAGCCCUG
RNAcentral lists this ribosomal RNA (275 nucleotides) under uncultured bacterium. Its description in RNAcentral is "partial 16S ribosomal RNA". It matches the Rfam family "Bacterial small subunit ribosomal RNA", at positions 338 to 605 of the family's 1533-position model. The record is from RNAcentral.